This 308-nucleotide ribosomal RNA is filed under the name uncultured Psychroserpens sp. RNAcentral's name for it is "bacterial SSU rRNA". It matches the Rfam family "Bacterial small subunit ribosomal RNA", at positions 28 to 334 of the family's 1533-position model. Lineage: Bacteria; Pseudomonadati; Bacteroidota; Flavobacteriia; Flavobacteriales; Flavobacteriaceae. The record is from RNAcentral.
GAUGAACGCUAGCGGCAGGCCUAACACAUGCAAGUCGAGGGGUAACAUUGGUGCUUGCAUCAGAUGACGACCGGCGCACGGGUGCGUAACGCGUAUACAAUCUACCUUGCACGAGGGGGAUAGCCUUUAGAAAUGAAGAUUAAUACCCCAUAGUUUGUUAAAUUGGCAUCAAUUAAACAAUAAAGUUCACGGUGCAAGAUGAGUAUGCGUUCUAUUAGCUAGAUGGUGUGGUAACGGCACACCAUGGCUACGAUAGAUAGGGGCCCUGAGAGGGGGAUCCCCCACACUGGUACUGAGACACGGACCAG